Molecule: ribosomal RNA, 156 nt
Filed under: Cuphea sessilifolia
Lineage: Eukaryota; Viridiplantae; Streptophyta; Magnoliopsida; Myrtales; Lythraceae
Description: 5.8S ribosomal RNA
Rfam family: 5.8S ribosomal RNA
About the family: 5.8S ribosomal RNA (5.8S rRNA) is a component of the large subunit of the eukaryotic ribosome. It is transcribed by RNA polymerase I as part of the 45S precursor that also contains 18S and 28S rRNA. Functionally, it is thought that 5.8S rRNA may be involved in ribosome translocation.
Source: RNAcentral
CUCGGCAACGGAUAUCUCGGCUCUCGCAUCGAUGAAGAACGUAGCAAAUGCGAUACUUGGUGUGAAUUGCAGAAUCCCGUGAACCAUCGAGUCUUUGAACGCAAGUUGCGCCCGGACGCCAUUCGGCUGAGGCGACGUCUGCCUGGGUGUCGACGC